RNAcentral lists this ribosomal RNA (449 nucleotides) under Alloprevotella sp. oral taxon 473. Its description in RNAcentral is "bacterial SSU rRNA". It matches the Rfam family "Bacterial small subunit ribosomal RNA", at positions 28 to 466 of the family's 1533-position model. The record is from RNAcentral. Lineage: Bacteria; Pseudomonadati; Bacteroidota; Bacteroidia; Bacteroidales; Prevotellaceae.
GAUGAACGCUAGCUACAGGCUUAACACAUGCAAGUCGAGGGGCAGCAUGGAAGAAGCUUGCUUCUUCUGAUGGCGACCGGCGCACGGGUGCGUAACGCGUAUCAAACCUGCCUCAUACUCGGGGAUAGCCUUGCGAAAGUAAGAUUAAUACCCGAUGUUGUUAUGUUACCGCAUGGUGACAUAACCAAAGAUUUAUCGGUAUGAGAUGGUGAUGCGUCCGAUUAGGUAGUAGGCGGGGUAACGGCCCACCUAGCCUUCGAUCGGUAGGGGUUCUGAGAGGAAGGUCCCCCACACUGGAACUGAGACACGGUCCAGACUCCUACGGGAGGCAGCAGUGAGGAAUAUUGGUCAAUGGACGAAAGUCUGAACCAGCCAAGUAGCGUGCAGGAUGACGGCCCUCUGGGUUGUAAACUGCUUUUAGUUGGGAAUAAAAAAGAGGACGUGUCCUC